GGUGGAUCUCGGUCAUAAUCCAGCGAAGACUAUCGUCGGAAUUGCCAUUAGCGUGGCGUUUAACGAUACGAAUGGAGGAGCAACAGCAACGCCGCGAUUCAUUUGGCAAAGGACGAGAUCGGAAGAAAAGGAAAGAUAGAACGCGUUACGUUGCGAAAUCCUCGACAACUUUUCGCAAAACUUAUUCAGAAUGUCCAUUUUCCAAACCACACACAAUAUGAAUUUUCGUUUGGAUGUAUUAUAGCUUAAUACGAACAGUUAUAUCCUAAAUGACGAAGAAUCCGGAAACCACGCGAGCCUUAACGAGUGUCAAUGUAUCGAAAGACAACGCGUUUCGAAUUACAGCUCGACGAGUCGCAUUUAACCACUGGUUCUCGCGAGUCUGUGGUCACCAGUCGUGAAUUACGAACGAGCUACAAGCAUGGGCAACCGGUUGCAUAGAUUCAGGGGCCAUCGACGCAGUACAGGCACGUGUGAGCGCUAAUGGUAACGAGAUUCGAUUCAACAGAGAGAAAAUAAAAUGAAUAGAGAAGCUCGUCGGAAGCAAGAGUACCGAAGCGUAAAAGUUCCGCAGAUCGUUUCGCUGCGUCUCUGAAGCCGAUUCUCGCAAUUAACAGGAAUGUUAUAUUAUAAAUAUUUGACCACGGACGCCAUUAAUUGAAGAAGGUCGUUGGAGACGUGAAGAGGGUCAGGUUAAACCCUUCAAUUUCCUCUUCUUUAAAGCCUCUUCGCUUCUCUACCUGUCGUCUUCUUCCAUUUUGUCGUUUCCUUUUUUCUCAAAUUGUACGAGGUUCAAGACGAUUCCUACGUCCGAGGGUCGUCAAGGAACUAGUUGGAAAGAAAAGAGGGUCAACAGUAAAACAUGAUAUCCGAUUGCCACGACGAAGAUUAACCUAGCCACGUCGCACCGUACCACUCGCCUCGAUGGUUCUUCCUUUGAGCGUUUCGAGCGGCCCUUAAACGCUCGGCCCUUUGUGUGUUCCGAAACCAACCAUACUUCCGACUCACCGUUGGUCCGUGUGCAAGAAUGACUAUUAUCGAAAUCUAUUUCGUUACGAUUGUGUGAUGUCACGUACCUGAUGAUAUGAAAUGAAUUUAUUUAUACUUGGUGCAAGUGAUAUACAGUGCCGUAAAUAAUUAGAAAAUUAAUCAGAAUAUCAAAAGAAAAAUUGACAGAGUCGUUUAUGUAACUUUAUAUUAUAAUAUGAAACAAAAUUGAA
This 1220-nucleotide unclassified non-coding RNA is filed under the name Bombus terrestris (buff-tailed bumblebee). RNAcentral describes it as "misc RNA ENSBTSG00005025712.1". Lineage: Eukaryota; Metazoa; Arthropoda; Insecta; Hymenoptera; Apidae. The record is from RNAcentral.